UACGUAGGGUGCAAGCGUUACUCGGAAUUACUGGGCUUAAAGCGUGUGUAGGUGGAUGCCUAAGUACCUUGUGAAAUCCCACGGCUCAACCGUGGAACUGCUUGGUAUACUGGUUCUCUUGAGCCACCUAGGGGCAACCGGAACAAACGGUGGAGCGGUGAAAUGCGUAGAUAUCGUUUGGAACGCCAAUGGUGAAAACAGGUUGCUGGGGGUGUGCUGACGCUGAGACACGAAAGCCAGGGGAGCAAACGGG
RNAcentral lists this ribosomal RNA (253 nucleotides) under uncultured bacterium. RNAcentral's name for it is "partial 16S ribosomal RNA". It matches the Rfam family "Bacterial small subunit ribosomal RNA", at positions 524 to 776 of the family's 1533-position model. The record is from RNAcentral.